AUUGAACGCUGGCGGCAUGCCUUACACAUGCAAGUCGAACGGCAGCACGGGAGCAAUCCUGGUGGCGAGUGGCGAACGGGUGAGUAAUAUAUCGGAACGUGCCCAGUAAUGGGGGAUAGCCCGGCGAAAGCCGGAUUAAUACCGCAUACGACCUACGGGUGAAAGCGGGGGAUCGUAAGACCUCGCGUUAUUGGAGCGGCCGAUAUCAGAUUAGCUUGUUGGUGGGGUAAAAGCCCACCAAGGCGACGAUCUGUAGCUGGUCUGAGAGGACGACCAGCCACACUGGGACUGAGACACGGCCCAGACUCCUACGGGAGGCAGCAGUGGGGAAUUUUGGACAAUGGGCGCAAGCCUGAUCCAGCCAUGCCGCGUGUGGGAAGAAGGCCUUCGGGUUGUAAACCACUUUUGUCAGGGAAGAAACGGUUCUUAAUAAUACUGAGAACUAACGACGGUACCUGAAGAAUAAGCACCGGCUAACUACGUGCCAGCAGCCGCGGUAAUACGUAGGGUGCGAGCGUUAAUCGGAAUUACUGGGCGUAAAGCGUGCGCAGGCGGUUUGUUAAGAUAGGCGUGAAAUCCCCGGGCUCAACCUGGGAACUGCGUUUAUGACUGGCAGGCUAGAGUAUGGCAGAGGGGGGUGGAAUUCCACGUGUAGCAGUGAAAUGCGUAGAGGUGUGGAGGAACACCGAUGGCGAAGGCAGCCCCCUGGGCCAAUACUGACGCUCAUGCACGAAAGCGUGGGUAGCAAACAGGAUUAGAUACCCUGGUAGUCCACGCCCUAAACGAUGUCAACUAGGUGUUGGGUGGGUAAAACCAUUUAGUACCGUAGCUAACGCGUGAAGUUGACCGCCUGGGGAGUACGGCCGCAAGGUUAAAACUCAAAGGAAUUGACGGG
RNAcentral lists this ribosomal RNA (895 nucleotides) under uncultured bacterium. RNAcentral describes it as "bacterial SSU rRNA". It matches the Rfam family "Bacterial small subunit ribosomal RNA", at positions 28 to 917 of the family's 1533-position model. The record is from RNAcentral.